This is a long non-coding RNA of Salvia miltiorrhiza (redroot sage), 399 nucleotides long. RefSeq lists it as uncharacterized. The record is from RefSeq and is a predicted model, not a curated record. NCBI's taxonomy places the organism in Eukaryota, Viridiplantae, Streptophyta, Magnoliopsida, Lamiales, Lamiaceae. The transcript has 2 exons.
UUUUAUGCUCAAGUUGAGUUUUCAAAGUAAAAGUCGAGCAAGAGUAUUGUUGGAACCCUUAGCCAAGAAAAAUGAUUUUCAAGUUUAUGUUGAAUUUUUGAAAACCCGGGUGUUGCGAAUCUAGUUAGAAAAUGAUGACAAGUCAUGAAGGUUAAGCUUGAUUUUAGGAUUAUGAGUUUAAGUUGAGAACUUAUCUUGUAGGUCCUACAGAAGAGGAUAUUUAGGCUCUUGUUCAGCUGAGUUAUAUUGUUUGGAUUUUCUUCAAAUCAGAACAUUGUUGGCUCCGCCAACCAAAACAUUGUUAGCUCUGCUAACCAGAAUUGUGUACGUACACCAGAACCUGUUGUCUCGAGAGAUUCGGUGACAACCAGUUGUAGUUAGCACGCCCAAUAGAUGAGC